GAUGAACGCUAGCGGCAGGCUUAAUACAUGCAAGUCGAGGGGCAGCAGUUUUGUAGCAAUACAGAAGCUGGCGACCGGCAAACGGGUGCGGAACACGUACGCAACCUUCCUUUAACUGGGAGAUAGCCCACCGAAAGGUGGAUUAAUAUCCCAUAAUAUAACUGAAUGGCAUCAUUUAGAUAUUAAAGCUCCGGCGGUUAAAGAUGGGCGUGCGUCUGAUUAGGUAGUUGGCGGGGUAACGGCCCACCAAGCCUUCGAUCAGUAGCUGAUGUAAGAACAUGAUCAGCCAAACGGGCACUGAGACACGGGCCCGACUCCUACGGGAGGCAGCAGUAAGGAAUGUUGGUCAAUGGACCCAAGUCUGAACCAGCCAUGCCGCGUGGAGGAUGAAGGCCCUCUGGGUUGUAAACUUCUUAUCUUUGGGACGAAACCCCUGUUUCUACGGGGACUGACGGUACCAGAGGAAUAAGCACCGGCUAACUCCGUGCCAGCCGCCGCCGUAA
This 503-nucleotide ribosomal RNA is filed under the name uncultured bacterium. RNAcentral's name for it is "partial 16S ribosomal RNA". It matches the Rfam family "Bacterial small subunit ribosomal RNA", at positions 28 to 523 of the family's 1533-position model. The record is from RNAcentral.